UACGUAGGGUGCAAGCGUUAAUCGGAAUUACUGGGCGUAAAGCGUGCGCAGGCGGUUCGGAAAGAAGGAUGUGAAAUCCCAGGGCUUAACCUUGGAACUGCAUUCUUAACUACCGGGCUAGAGUGUGUCAGAGGGAGGUGGAAUUCCGCGUGUAGCAGUGAAAUGCGUAGAUAUGCGGAGGAACACCGAUGGCGAAGGCAGCCUCCUGGGACAACACUGACGCUCAUGCACGAAAGCGUGGGGAGCAAACAGGAUUAGAAACCCCGGUAGUCC
RNAcentral lists this ribosomal RNA (273 nucleotides) under uncultured Bordetella sp. RNAcentral's name for it is "partial 16S ribosomal RNA". It matches the Rfam family "Bacterial small subunit ribosomal RNA", at positions 524 to 796 of the family's 1533-position model. The record is from RNAcentral. Lineage: Bacteria; Pseudomonadati; Pseudomonadota; Betaproteobacteria; Burkholderiales; Alcaligenaceae.